This 129-nucleotide small nuclear RNA is filed under the name Crocodylus porosus (Australian saltwater crocodile). RNAcentral's name for it is "U4 spliceosomal RNA (ENSCPRG00005018708.1)". It matches the Rfam family "U4 spliceosomal RNA". From Rfam's summary of the family: U4 small nuclear RNA (U4 snRNA) is a component of the major U2-dependent spliceosome. The structure of U4 snRNA from yeast and human has been reported. Lineage: Eukaryota; Metazoa; Chordata; Crocodylia; Crocodylidae. The record is from Rfam by way of RNAcentral.
CUGUCACUGCAGUGGCAGUAUCGUAGCCAAUGAGGUUAAUCCGAGGCGUGAUUAUUGCUAGUUGUAGACCCAAGUUGAGUGAAUAGCAGAUGUGCAUGAAGGUGCAAUUCAGGUUGAGCUUUAAGGGGU